UGGGGAAUAUUGCACAAUGGAGGAUUACUCUGAUGCAGCAACGCCGCGUGAGUGAUGAAGGUCUUCGGAUUGUAAAGCUCUGUCUUCUGGGACGAUAAUGACGGUACCAGAGGAGGAAGCCACGGCUAACUACGUG
RNAcentral lists this ribosomal RNA (136 nucleotides) under uncultured bacterium. RNAcentral describes it as "partial 16S ribosomal RNA". It matches the Rfam family "Bacterial small subunit ribosomal RNA", at positions 355 to 507 of the family's 1533-position model. The record is from RNAcentral.